Molecule: ribosomal RNA, 492 nt
Filed under: uncultured bacterium
Lineage: Bacteria
Description: partial 16S ribosomal RNA
Rfam family: Bacterial small subunit ribosomal RNA
Source: RNAcentral
AGUGAACGCUGGCGGCAGGCCUAACACAUGCAAGUCGAACGGCAGCACAGUAAGAGCUCGCUUUUACGGGUGGCGAGUGGCGGACGGGUGACGAAUACAUCGGAACCCACUUUUUCGUGGGGGAUAACGGAGGGAAACUUACGCUAACACCGCAUACGACCUACGGGUGAAAGCAGGGGAUCUUCGAACCUUGCGCGAGUGAAUGAGCCGAUGGCGGAUUAGCUAGUUGGCGGGGUAAAGGCCCACCAAGGCGACGAUCCGUAGCUGGUCUGAGAGGAUGAUCAGCCACACUGGAACUGGGACACGGUCCAGACUCCUACGGGAGGCAGCAGUAGGGAAUAUUAGACAAUGGGGGCAAGCCUGAUCCAGCAAUGCCGCGUGAGUGAUGAAGGCCUUCGGGUUGUAAAGCCCUUUUGUUUGGGAAGAAAAACAGCAGGUUAAUACAUCGCUGUUCUGACGGUACCUAAAGAAUAAGCACCGGCUAACUUCGUG